This 313-nucleotide ribosomal RNA is filed under the name uncultured gamma proteobacterium DCM-FREE-1. RNAcentral's name for it is "bacterial SSU rRNA". It matches the Rfam family "Bacterial small subunit ribosomal RNA", at positions 9 to 324 of the family's 1533-position model. Lineage: Bacteria; Pseudomonadati; Pseudomonadota; Gammaproteobacteria. The record is from RNAcentral.
AGAUUUGAUCAUGGCUCAGAUUGAACGCUGGCGGUAGGCUUAACACAUGCAAGUCGUGCGAGAAAGUAUCUUCGGAUAUGAGUAGAGCGGCGGACGGGUGAGUAACGCGUAGGAAUCUACCUAGUAGAAGGGGAUAGCCCGGGGAGACUCGGAUUAAUACCGUAUACCUCCUUAGGGAGAAAGAAGGCCUCUCAUUGAGGCUUUCGCUAUUAGAUGAGCCUGCGUUAGAUUAGCUUGUUGGUGAGGUAAAGGCUCACCCAGGCGACGAUCUUUAGCGGGUCUGAGAGGACAAUCCGCCACCUUGGGACUGAGA